RNAcentral lists this transfer RNA (73 nucleotides) under Stegodyphus mimosarum. It matches the Rfam family "tRNA". Rfam says of the family: Transfer RNA (tRNA) molecules are approximately 80 nucleotides in length. Their secondary structure includes four short double-helical elements and three loops (D, anti-codon, and T loops). Further hydrogen bonds mediate the characteristic L-shaped molecular structure. tRNAs have two regions of fundamental functional importance: the anti-codon, which is responsible for specific mRNA codon recognition, and the 3' end, to which the tRNAs corresponding amino acid is attached (by aminoacyl-tRNA synthetases). tRNAs cope with the degeneracy of the genetic code in two manners: having more than one tRNA (with a specific anti-codon) for a particular amino acid; and 'wobble' base-pairing, i.e. permitting non-standard base-pairing at the 3rd anti-codon position. The record is from Rfam by way of RNAcentral. Lineage: Eukaryota; Metazoa; Arthropoda; Arachnida; Araneae; Eresidae.
GCCUUGGUGGUGUAGUGGUCAACACGCUCGGCGUGUAUUCGAGAGGUCCGUGGUUCAAGUCCUGGCAAGGGCA